CUGUCUGUCUGUCUGUCUGUCUGUCUGUCUGUCUGUCUGUCUGUCUGUCUGUCUGUCUGUCUGUCUAUCUAUACGCGUGCCAGUGGCUCCGCCAUGUGCGCGAUAAUACGUAUUCCAGAGUGAAACGAACCAUUUUUCAAGGCGUAUCCAGCCCGGUGAUCUCAUUCGCAGACGCGGCAAUAAAUAAAUAAAGUAGACAUAGCGGUUCGGACGCAGCGCUCCAGCAGACACGCUCGCCGACACGCAGCUGUGAGCAUCGGCGUCAAACGGAAACCGUGCAGGCUGCCGUGGCCGCGGGCUCGCAACGGCGCAGGAGUCGUGGGGCCGAAACACCUGCGGUCCGGGCUCGCCGCGGUGCGUAACCCAAGGCUUGCGCCUCGGCUCCAGCGUGGAAGGAAGGGUAACGAAUGUAUAAAGAAUUAAAAAGAAGAACGACGGCGAAAAGCCUCCGCGCACACCGCUGACACGUGCCAGCUCAGACCACGGAGUUCGAAUGUGAGACCUGGGAAACGAUUGACUGGCCCACGAAGUGCGAUCUAAGAUCUGUGGCGCCUGUCUCGAGGGGGCCCCGUACUCGUUUGAUCCUUUGCGGCCAGUCCUGUGAAACUCACAACAACCGAUGGCAGCAGUGACUGACUCUCUUUCCUGGUCACGAAUUAACGGAAACUCUUACAGCAACGAGCUCUUGACGGGGGCGACUUGAGCGGCAUAAGAGACGUAGUCUGUCAUUUCUGUGUUCAGACUACAAGAUGGGCGUGGCCUACCAGAGUGCGGCGUCCCAACGUUUGUACAACAUAGUCGACACCGCGCAAAUAUCGUCCCACGUCCUUUCUGUAGAUGUUGCGUCCCUCUGGAGAGCCAGUUCUUUGCUACAAAAUGCUUCGUCCACCGAAGUGGGAAACAAGCGCUUCGGGCUCUAGUUGCGUUCGUGUUAGGUUAGGUUAUGGUUCAAAGCCCACUUCGCGGACACGUAUCUGUGGUAUAUUUAGUUAGACGCGAAACCAAAGUACAGAACACAAAUAGUAAAAAGAAAAAAAAUUAUUGAGGACAGUGGCACUGUUAACUGAUGAAUACAUAUGCCCUAUGACUGCCUUACACUAUACUCUCGAGAUAAUCCUUUCCCUCAUACGAGUAUUUUCUCAUUGUACUGUCACUUGUAUACGUAAAGUGGUACAACACUGCUUCUGUUGACAACGGUUUUGUUUGAUUGUUAGGUUCCCAUAUAUAUCAUUGUGUUCGCAGUAAAUUAUACAACUUCGUUCUUUCUACGUCCACACAAUAAUUUGGGAACCAGUGCAUAAGGCUACCUGUGCACUGCACACUGCAUGUUAAGAGAGGUUGCCGUUGCCGCAUUUGGGCAUCAACAUAUUGUACUUUUCUUUUAUGUCAAUAAAAAUAUGCGUGCACAGCUGAGACCAUGAUCCUGAAAGCA
This is a long non-coding RNA of Dermacentor andersoni, 1432 nucleotides long. RefSeq lists it as uncharacterized. NCBI's taxonomy places the organism in Eukaryota, Metazoa, Arthropoda, Arachnida, Ixodida, Ixodidae. The record is from RefSeq and is a predicted model, not a curated record.